GUGAAAAAACAGAAUUGCCUUAUCUGGGGUUCCUGUGCAGCAGUCCCUGGCCGAUGCUACUUUCCAAGCCUGUGGGAAAGGUUAACCUGGCUCAGGCCAAAACUGGAGAGUGCUAACAGUUAAACAGCAGGGCAGGGCUCAAGGCCAUGCCAUGGUCCUGCACAGACAAAGGAAGCUUAAUGUACAGCCACAAUGCAGCAUAGUGAACCUCUGCACAUGCUGGCAAUAGAAGACCUGUACGAGUCUCCCCCUAGAGCCUUAGCAGCUGUUUUAGAUCUACCCACCUUCAUUCUGGCUUGAGAUAAACACCAUGAGAUCUGGGAUAAUGCAAAUAAGGCACACAUGGCCUUGAUCUGGCUGAAAUCCUGUCCCUGUCUCAGUGAUGAUAACCAUGGUAUUGUAGCUAAUAUUGAAUUAUGUGGCAAUGGCCAAUGUAGAGACACAAUGCAUGGCAGGUCCACAGCUAGGUCCGUGACUACAGAUGGAAACCAAAGAUAAAGGGAAAUACAGGGCCUUGUGCCUGCAUAUAAAGGAUGCAAAGCUGCUUCCAAGGACAAUGAUUCUGUGGUUAAGCAGGCAGAAACAGAGCAAGAAGGGGCUGUGAGAAGGUUUGCAGCCUAUCUGUAGGAGGUUCACUAGCUGUGGGAGAUCUGGCAUGGUCAGACAGUCCUGACUUAGCAUAAAGUUAGCUGGCACAAUGUUAGCUCAUCAACAUUUUUUUGAGUACUAUAAACUUACUUCACUGGCUCAAGUGUAAGUUUAUCAGCACUCUGCAUCGUGUAGUGGGAGUGUUCUUAUUCCAGCGGAAUCUGGAUUUAAUCUACAGCCAAACCAUAGACGUAGCCAGAGAGAGCUGUAACUGAACAAGAAAAUGGAUAAGUGCACUAGAGGCCCAUGCAACUAAACAGUGGACCUACUCUGAUGACCUCUGAAUCAUCUCGAAGAUAUUUUGGGGAACAAAAGUGCAUGAAGCAAUGUCCAGCUCCUUGGUUUAUAGAUCCACUCUCUUUUAGCUAUUUUUUGGGUUGUAGCCAGCUGUGUGCCCAGUUCUUGCGAAGGGAAGAGCAGAUAGUUUCUUCCCUUUCUUUUUCCCCCUCCGGAGGCGCGGUGCCGCGGCUGGGCCAGCAGAGGGAGGUCACGGCUCGCCGGGCGCAGCGACGCCGCCGGCCCAGAAGCUGCAGUACAGCAGGGAGCGAAGAGCAGCCUCCAGCAGCGUCUCGGCAGCUAAUCGGCGGUAGAAGCCGCCCACCCGACUGGAGAGAUUCUAAGCAGAAUAUGAAGCUUUGCUUGUUGUACUUCUAA
Molecule: long non-coding RNA, 1302 nt
Filed under: Anas platyrhynchos platyrhynchos (common mallard)
Lineage: Eukaryota; Metazoa; Chordata; Aves; Anseriformes; Anatidae
Description: lncRNA (ENSAPLG00000020755.1)
Source: RNAcentral